This 253-nucleotide ribosomal RNA is filed under the name uncultured bacterium. RNAcentral describes it as "partial 16S ribosomal RNA". It matches the Rfam family "Bacterial small subunit ribosomal RNA", at positions 524 to 776 of the family's 1533-position model. The record is from RNAcentral.
GACGAAGGGGGCUAGCGUUGUUCGGAAUUACUGGGCGUAAAGCGCGUGUAGGCGGUUGUCCAAGUUGGAUGUGAAAGCCUUGAGCUCAACUCAAGAAAUGCACUCAGGACUGGAUGACUAGAGGACCGGAGAGGAUAGUGGAAUUCCCAGUGUAGUGGUGAAAUACGUAGAGAUUGGGAAGAACACCAGUGGCGAAGGCGGCUAUCUGGACGGUUUCUGACGCUAAGACGCGAAAGCGUGGGGAGCAAACAGG